CUCAUUAUUAAUAAUGGCAAAACUUUGAGUAUAUGCUAAGAAAUAAAUAAUAUAUUUCAAGAAAUAGAAAUAAUGUAUCAUGAAGUAAUAACUUAAGCACAAAAAUAUAUACUUCAAAGAGAUUUUUAACGGGCCUUCAAUUUAUUGUACAUCAUUAGUUUAUUAUAUAUUAUUGCAUAUACUCAUAUCAAAAUUAUAGAUCAAUUCAAAUCAAUGAG
Molecule: long non-coding RNA, 218 nt
Filed under: Elaeis guineensis (African oil palm)
Lineage: Eukaryota; Viridiplantae; Streptophyta; Magnoliopsida; Arecales; Arecaceae
Description: long non-coding RNA (EGUI_LNC038476)
Source: RNAcentral